GGAACUUUCUGUGAAAUGGCAUGUUCUUGGAAGGAGCAGGAGCAGGGAGGAGAGGGAAGGGGGGAAGGAGAGAAGGAAAAAAGGGAGAGCGACGAGGGGGAGGGAAGGCCCAGGUCAGAGAGAAGAAAGGAGAGAGAUUUGCUGGUAAAAUCACAUGAAGAUGUGACAAGAAGUGCAAAGGGGCGAGAGGCUGGUUUGAGUUGGCAUGAGGAAUGGGUGAAAGAGGACAGACGGCUGCUGACCUAGAAGAAGCCUGAAGCAACAGAAGGAAAAAAUAAGCCAAGAGGGAGAGAAGGAAUCAACUGCUAAGAGAAGAAAACACGCAGAUGCAGAGGUUGACCCCAAGCCCACCCAGCCUCGGGCUCACGGGCGAGAUGGAGAGUUUCCCAGGAGAAGGCUGAGAGGACAGCUGCUCACCACAACAGCUCCUUGAGGGGAAGGGACAAGACAGCAGAUUGCCAGAGCAUUCCCUCUCCUUUCUCCCCGCUCCUGGCUAUGCAGGGUUCACAGAGGAGGGAGCUCUGGGCCUGAUGUUGGGGAGCCAGACCUUUCUUCUUCCAAGUCUCCCCGAGGGAAAGAGGGCAUGUGCUGCAGUUUGCCCCUGAGGGACAUGUGGGCGAGUCCUGGGUGCAGGCCUCUGGCUCCCAUGGGUGUUGGGGGCAGCUCCCCUAUCCUGAGCCCAGCACCAGCCCUGGAUUCUUACAUCUCACCCUCAUGGCUUCCCUCAGGGAGAGCCAUCCAAAUACUGAGUCACAGAGGAAAAAAAAAAGCGUUGCAGACAAAACCAAGAAAAAUUACACAAUCUCUUAAAUUCCUGGACGAAAGAGUCUACACCUACUUUGUGCAAAAUCAGGAGGCUUCUCAUGACUGGGUGUGACUGUAACCCACGUGCUAAUGACGAGCCAUCUGCAAAGUAGAUAUACCAACCGUGUCACACGAUGCCGCCCCUCUGAUGCUCAGCACGUUCUGAGAGGUGAGCAGGCAGGUUCCACCUUCAGUAGUGAGACAGCACAGGAUGGAGCACAAAGACCCCACCACCGCCCUCCAGGAUAAUGCCCUCCCCAACAGGAACUGCUUUCCCGAGAGUGUCAAGAUAGAAGCUGUUCAAGCUCAAGGAACCAUUUUGGGUUAUUGGAAACUCAACAUCAAGUGCGUCAAGAUGCUGAAUGUUAUCCACCAACCAGUUUUAUUCCUCCGUGGCACCACAGGCCUUGCCACACUAGGCUGCCCAGGCCCCUCGGUGCCUCUGCUCAAGCCGGUCCCUCCCCCUGGAAGGUCUUGCCAGCCAGCUUUGAGGUGCUUUGGGAUUCACACGAUAAUGCGCUGAGCCCUGCAGCUGGGAGCUGCCUGUGAGCACCUCAGAGUUUCCAGUCAGUGGUUUCCUGUGGGAGAGCAGUCCAGGGCCUCAGCUCUCCACUUACUGGCACACCUCCCUCUCUCUGCUCUGCCUCCCGUCCAUCCUGACCACUGGCCUGGCCUCGCAGGGAGACAAAAAGUAGUUUGGUUUCCUCGGAUUAGAAAGAUGGCAAGCCUGGGAGCUGAAACCACUGGCCCUUAUUUUUCAGGGGAGAGGAGAGAAGUGUGUGUUGGGGAGAGGGCACUCUAGGACCCCAGGGUUGGGGGCCCGUCUCCUGCAGAGCUGCAGUGGGUAGGACAGUCUGUCCUGCAGGAAUGCUGUGACCCCUAAGGGUGUCCGUGUGAAGGCUCUGUCUGUUCUGAAAGUGCACCAUGGAGGGCAAUGGUCCCUCCGUAACAGAAGUGGCCAUUGUGAGAUGGAGGAGUGAGAAUGGGGCUAAGGUCUUUAGGGAGGCGGAGAUUCCAUGGCUGGCAGAGAGGUCUGGAAGGGUCAGGGUGACCUAGGGGCCACUGGAGCCUGGUCAGUUCCAGGGGCUGUUGGAAAGGUCAAAAGUGCUUCUGUGUGACCAGAAUUGAGCUCUCUGGUGGCAGCCCACACGUCAGCCCCAUCUACUCUGAGCCAGGCCCUAGCCUAGCUCUAAUGGGGACAUAGAGAUGCCCUCAUGCAACAGCCAGGCUAGAGAGAAGAACACAGGCACAAGCAACUUGGAGGUGCUCAGAUGUGGUGUGUACCAAGACAUCGCUGAGGAGGCGGGAGAAGGGGAGGAGAGGGUAGGCGCUGCCUCAGUGGAGCCAGGGAGGGUGCCCUCAAGCCUGUUGUGCCCAAGGGGGUGUAAAACCGAAAGCAGGGAGGGUGCCCUCAAGCCUGUUGUGCCCAAGGGGGUGUAAAACCGGCUGGUAGAUAACUUUUUGCAUCUCGAAGUAGGACUUUGAUGGUGAGGUCAGUUUUGAAUAACCUCAAACGGCUCCUUGAACUUGGAUAGCUUGAACUUGGAUAGCUUUAUCGCAAGAGAGUGACACUCUGAGGAGUUCUCUAAGCGAAAGGAUAUAGGUGUCAACCUGCAAAAAGUGAGUAUUUCAUCGGAAGUCACAGGCGUUGCUGUCCUGCAGCAACCAGAACACACCUCACUGUCCUCAGAGUCAUUGGGCUUAGUGGCCCUGGGGUGCAGGAAUUCCUUCCACAGCUGACAAGAGCCCUUCUGGGCCCUAAGGGUCUUGAGGGUCCUCUCAGUGGCUCUUCGACUAGAGGAAAAGCCAGCAUCGACACCCUCCAGGGAAGUUAACAUUUACUGAGCCCUUCCAGAAGACCUGUUCCUCCUGGCCAUGGCUGGCUGGACAAGGGGUAGGCGUAGUCAGUCCACAUGCUCAGUAUGAAUAGACGAGCUGGCCCCAUCAGGGAGUUUGAACAAGGACACAGAGACAGUGAACUGUGUGUUCUCAGAGAGCUGGUUGGGGCUGCUUGUACAGUUGAGGCUGCCAUCUUGUUGGGCCACAUGCAAGAAGAGUGAGCAGAGAGAAGCCAAAGUAAGAGAGCUCUCUGAGGACCCCUGAGGGCUGGAGAGGAUUGGCACAGUUGCUGAAUCUUCUGUCCCAGCCCCGAAGAGGCUUGUGAUCCCUCACUGAAUAUCUGCGGGACUGCCUGUUAUAGCCUUACAAACAAUUGUCUUCUGUUUGAGCUCCUGAGUGGGCUUCUGAUCUUCGCAAGCAAGAGAUCCUUGAUGAGAACACCACCCUCCAGCUCCCCUAGCCUCUGAGCUCAGGCAGGAAAAGCCAGCUUAUCACGGAGCUUGGAGGAUGGAGCUGGGGUUCUUUUGAGGGCAGCAAGCGGACCUCCCAUCUUUCUCUCCAACCCCAGCCUUGCCUCUCCAAACCCAAACUGAAGCUGCUAUGUGACUCUGGCAAGUUCACCAGAGUUUUCCGGCCCAUUCCUGGCACCUGCUGCUGCUGGCUGCUCUUUAACUCCCUCAGGCACUGCCAAAUUUUCCUUGGUGCUCCCAGGCCAGGCAGUCUCUCCAGAGAGAGAGAGAGAGCUCAGCUGAGGUCACAUGGAAAAUAACCCUGGAGGAGGGCCCUGCCCCGAGCUGCUUCAGCCAACUUCUCUUUGUUCUUGCUCUCCUUCUCACAUGAAACUGGCCUGUUUCACCAAAGGUCAGGUCGCAUUCCCCUAAACACAGGAGUGCUAUGCAGUAAAAGUUUGAGACAACUUGUUUGCAUCUCAUGACUCUGGGAAAGCUUUAAAAGUGGAGAACUCCAGGGAUACCGUGCCACGAUGUCUUUGUAACUGUUGGCUUCCAGACUAUGAGCCCUUCCAAUGGGAAAACUCGCAGUGCUGAUGAACUCUGCUUUACACCAUAACACAUUCCUAAAGAGUCACAGAUGAUCUGCUCACUUAUAGUCUGCCUCAUUCCAGGGAAGGAAGAAAAACAGAAAACAAAAGCCACAGCAUCACCAAGCUGACAAAUUAGAGAGAAAGAAAAAGGAACAUCAAAAAUACACGAUAGAACCAGGAGAGGGGCAAAGACAAGAUGGACACCGUCAAAAUCCAACAUGGUUGCUAUGGGGAAAACACAGUUUGGCCCUAAGCUUUCCAGCAGCUGCUAUGAAAAGAGAAAUUUGAUUAGUUACACAAAGAGUCGUGUAUAAACUGAACUUUGGAAAAUUGAAUCAUGUUUCAAAUAUAUUAGUGGAGGUUGGAGGUUGCUGUUAAAGAAAACCUUUGUAGCGGACAUCUGGUUUGGUUUUUUGGUGUUUGUUUGCUGUUUGUGUUUGUAUUUGUCUGCUCAGCAGCCCUUCAUCCGGGGAAAUGGCCCUUCCGGACUUGGGGUGAUUAGGGUGAGCUGUCAAUCACAGAACCCCACCCUGGUUAGGAGGUAGGCUUUGGACCCAGCUCACUAAUCAGAUCCUCUCCUGGAAAUUUGCAUCUUGAGUGGAGACACCUGGGGGGCUGUAGGUUGUUAAAGCAGAGGCUCUCAUGAGGGUUUCUUCAAAAGACAAUUCAAAAUGUCCUGCUACCCAGAGCCCCAGAGCUGGCCUGGUUCUGUCCUUCCCAUGUCCUGAUUUUUCACGUUUUCCUUUGAGUCUGUGAUUUCCCAGUAUCCUCUCAAUAAAUUCCUUCAGCUUAAGCUAA
Molecule: long non-coding RNA, 4483 nt
Organism: Equus caballus (horse)
Lineage: Eukaryota; Metazoa; Chordata; Mammalia; Perissodactyla; Equidae
Source: Ensembl